This 253-nucleotide ribosomal RNA is filed under the name uncultured bacterium. Its description in RNAcentral is "partial 16S ribosomal RNA". It matches the Rfam family "Bacterial small subunit ribosomal RNA", at positions 524 to 776 of the family's 1533-position model. The record is from RNAcentral.
UACGGGGGGGGCAAGCGUUGUUCGGAAUUACUGGGCGUAAAGGGCUCGUAGGCGGCCAACUAAGUCAGACGUGAAAUCCCCAGGCUUAACCUGGGAACUGCGUCUGAUACUGGAUGGCUUGAAUUCGGGAGAGGGAUGCAGAAUUCCAGGUGUAGCGGUGAAAUGCGUAGAUAUCUGGAGGAAUACCGGUGGCGAAGGCGGCAUCCUGGACCGACAUUGACGCUGAGGAGCGAAAGCUAGGGGAGCAAACGGG